This is a long non-coding RNA of Pongo pygmaeus (Bornean orangutan), 1841 nucleotides long. RefSeq lists it as uncharacterized. Lineage: Eukaryota; Metazoa; Chordata; Mammalia; Primates; Hominidae. The record is from RefSeq and is a predicted model, not a curated record. The transcript has 3 exons.
GGGCUGUAUCUCGCUAGCAGAGUGCUGGGAAGGCAGGCGGGGACCUGGACGCUCACACACCCUCGAGGGCCUCCAGCCUGCAGAUCCCUAGCCCCGGUCCCAGGCAGUGUGCAGUGUGGACCUGCUUGGCAAGGACUCUUUUUAGACUCCACAUAUUAAGUGAAAUUUCUCAAAAGAAGACAUCCAAGCGGUGAACAGAUGUAUGAAAAAAAAUGCUUGUCAUCACAAACCAUCAGGGAAAGGCAAAUUAAAACCACAAUGAGACAUCACCUGCCCUGUUCGAAUGGCUUAUCAAAAAGACGAAAGACAGCAAAUGGCAGCGUCCUUCCCAGAGAUGGAGGCUACAGGAGCUGGUGAGUGCCCCAGGCCUGGAUGUGGGACACAGGAGGUCAUGAGGAGCAACCACAGGAGCUGUCCUGUGAGAAGCUAAUAUGUGAGUCUUCGGAGGAGAUGGAGUGCCUAGGGUCAGCGGGGUUGCGUGUGUGAGUGCAGAGAAGAGAGGAGGCCGUGGGAGGCCAACACAGUGGUCAGGAUGUGAGGGGUGGAGUGAGCACUGUGGGCCUGCUGGAGGAACCUGAGGGGCAGACAUUGCCAUCUCACUGGCAGGUUGGGGAGAAGGUGGCCGGUGGCAAGGGCAUGCCCUUGGGUUAUAAGGAGGGGUUCCUGUCCAGACUCUGGACAUGUCUGGCUGGGAGACUUUGGGUAGCUUUUCUGAGCCUCAGGGUCCCUAAGUUAGAUGGGGGUGAUGAUGCCUACCUCACAGGGUGUGGGGGAUUAAUGGGCCAACCUUGGUGCUGAUGUGCAUAGAGUGUGCAGUGAGACCCCAACCUUAGUGAUGCCUGUGCCCCCAGAUGCAGCUGAAGGGUAGCACCCACCUACUGUAAUAUCAUAAGGGAGCAGGACACACCCAGAUAUUUAGGACAAAUCAGAAAUCCUCAUUGGAUGGCUCUUUCUAUGCAUGUGAACACAUUUUGGUUGGGGCAGGGCGAGGGACCUCUCAGAGCCAUGGAUGGGGCGGCCGUGAGCGGGGGGAGUUGCACGCUGGGUAUGACUUAUGGGUGGGCAUGAACUUUGUGGCCCAAAGGCCACAGCCCCUUUUGGAGUAGCCCCUUUUGUAACGGUAAAGGGUUUUAGAAGGGAUUUGUCGAUGAGACCGUGGCUGAGGUUCAUCUGAAAAGGCUCCCUGAGGAACCAAAGCCCAAGACUCGCUGGAUAGAUGUGCUCGGUGCAAACCAGGGUGCAGAGAGCACGGCAUCAGGUCCCAGGUGCCAGUCGCCAGGCCAGCCCAUGAUUAGACAGCCUCAGGUGGAGGGAGUAUAGCUUCUGUGUCCCUGCCUGAAUGAAUGGUGGCACAGGAGUGGAAUUUUGAGAUGCCCUGGGAGAAACAUAGAAGCGCUGGAAGUGUGUGGGCAGGAACAGUCUUGGAGCACCGUGUGGACCUAGUCACAGGCAAGCCCGGCUCAUGUCAUGCUUCAUUCUGCUCAUCUGUGAUGGCUGACCUCCUCAAGGCCAGCGAGGUAUCAGGACUUACAAGUUCCCAACAGCUUUGCAGGCUCUGGAGGACAGCAGAAAGGUCACCGUCCACAAGCAGCCACUGCCACCAUGGAGAGGGGUAAGCGACAUAUGCCUGGGUGGUUCAGGAGCACCACGGUUAGUCCAACCCCGCCACCCUACAGAGGAGGAAAACAUGCUGAGAAGACUUUCAGGGACUUGUUUAUGCCCCAGUUAAUGAUCUUCUCCAUUUGGCAUCCCCCGGUACAAGGUUUCCAGAAAUGUCAUCCUUCAGAUGGGAUGUGGGAACACCCAGGUCCCGAUUGCUCAAGGUUUGUCAAAGAUUUCCA